This 472-nucleotide ribosomal RNA is filed under the name uncultured bacterium. RNAcentral describes it as "SSU rRNA". It matches the Rfam family "Bacterial small subunit ribosomal RNA", at positions 26 to 518 of the family's 1533-position model. The record is from RNAcentral.
AGGACGAACGCUGGCGGCGUGCUUAACACAUGCAAGUCGAGCGGAAAGGCCCUUCGGGGUACUCGAGCGGCGAACGGGUGAGUAACACGUGAGCAAUCUGCCCUUAGCUUCGGGAUAGCCCCGGGAAACCGGGAUUAAUACCGAAUACGACCUCGGCCGACAUCGGCCUUGGUGGAAAGUUUUUCGGCUAGGGAUGAACUCGCGGCCUAUCAGCUUGUUGGUGGGGUAAUAGCCUACCAAGGCGACGACGGGUAGCCGGCCUGAGAGGGCGACCGGCCACACUGGGACUGAGACACGGCCCAGACUCCUACGGGAGGCAGCAGUGGGGAAUAUUGCGCAAUGGGCGAAAGCCUGACGCAGCGACGCCGCGUGGGGGAUGAAGGCCUCGGGUUGUAACCCCUUUCAGCAGGGACGAAGCGAGAGUGACGGUACCUGCAGAAGAAGCGCCGGCUAACUACGCGCCAGCAGCCGC